UGGCUGAAUCUGUCAGUAUUAAAACUCUUCUGUAUUGCUGGAGUAAGGAAAAGAAACCAGGUAACACUUGCUUUCUAUAAAAGGUAAAUUGAUUAAACUGUCUGUAGAACAACAAGAAUUUUUGUAAUUUCAGGAGAAAUGGGACUGCUAAACAUCACCUCAACAUAAGGAGGUUUCUGUAACUGAAAAAGAAGACUUGUUUUCCAACUGUCAUAUUGGUCUUCAUCAGACAGUUCACCAACUGUGUUCUCAUUGCCUCUCUUACUUCAGAAGAAAACAUUUGUUUAAUUUCAUGAAGUCACCUUGCCACUAAAAGAAAUAAAUAUUGCCAGGCACACAGAAUGGUCUUUGCAUGACUAUGCUGCUGGUGGCAAAGGAAAGGAGUUUUGCUAGGUAGACUAGUCCCUACUGUGGAAAUAGCAGCACCAUUCCAGAAAAGGCUGUCAAUCACAUGUGCGUUUUGUUCCAGUGCAGUAUUAGAUUGGAUUCAAAUCCCUCGUCUGUAAAAAGGUAAUGAUCUACCUUGUCAGGAUAAAAUGUAUUUGUCACAACUCAGGAUUUCUCCUUGUU
Molecule: long non-coding RNA, 570 nt
Filed under: Numida meleagris (helmeted guineafowl)
Lineage: Eukaryota; Metazoa; Chordata; Aves; Galliformes; Numididae
Description: lncRNA (ENSNMEG00000021215.1)
Source: RNAcentral